Molecule: ribosomal RNA, 562 nt
Filed under: uncultured archaeon
Lineage: Archaea
Description: bacterial SSU rRNA
Rfam family: Archaeal small subunit ribosomal RNA
Source: RNAcentral
CGGGGUGCAGCAGGCGCGAAAACUUUGCAAUGCGGGAAACCGUGACAAGGGAACUCUGAGUGCCCGUUAAAUCGGGCUGUCCAUCGGUUUAAAUAACCGGUGAAGAAAGGGCCGGGCAAGACCGGUGCCAGCCGCCGCGUAAUACCGGCGGCUCGAGUGGUGGCCACUAUUACUGGGCUUAAAGCGUUCGUAGCUGGUUUGUUAAGUCUCUGGGGAAAUCUUCCGGCUUAACCGGAAGGCGUCUCAGGGAUACUGGCAGACUAGGGACCGGGAGAGGUGAGAGGUACUCCAGGGGUAGGAGUGAAAUCCUGUAAUCCUUGGGGGACCACCUGUGGCGAAGGCGUCUCACCAGAACGGCUCCGACAGUGAGGGACGAAAGCUGGGGGAGCAAACCGGAUUAGAUACCCGGGUAGUCCCAGCUGUAAACGAUGCGCGUUAGGUGUAUCAGUGACCACGAGUCACUGAGGUGCCGAAGAGAAAUCGUGAAACGCGCCGCCUGGGAAGUACGGUCGCAAGGCUGAAACUUAAAGGAAUUGGCGGGGGAGCACAAGGGCGAAUCGCG